CUAAAGCCAAGUGAAAGUGGGAUUCAAACUGGGUUUUUCUUCUGUGUAUUUCAGGCCAAGAGUGAGAACAAGGCUUCCCAUCACAUACGGGAAGGUGAAGCGUUCAGGCAGCUUGGCAGAAACUCAAGGGAACAGAAGAAUUAAGUGUAUUUUUUUUGGUGAAGUUUUGAGAUCCCUGUACAAAGUUUUGGAUUUGAGGAGAGCCCUUAAGACCUUCUAUCAACCUUGUCAAUCAAAUAAAUUGAUGAAUCAUUCAGAGCUAAGGCUACAAGCAGUCCUGCAUAGCAACUUCUGAGGUGAGUUCCUGGCUUUCUUGAUUACUGCAUGCAGACAAAACCUCUUCAUGGCUGUGGGUCACUGCUGAAGGAAUUCAAAACAAGGGAAAUUAAAGCUCAUCCACCUCAGCUUUUGUGAUUGCUCUUAGGAAGAUGUGAG
Molecule: long non-coding RNA, 435 nt
Filed under: Corvus moneduloides (New Caledonian crow)
Lineage: Eukaryota; Metazoa; Chordata; Aves; Passeriformes; Corvidae
Description: lncRNA (ENSCMUG00000007094.2)
Source: RNAcentral